RNAcentral lists this ribosomal RNA (468 nucleotides) under uncultured bacterium. Its description in RNAcentral is "partial 16S ribosomal RNA". It matches the Rfam family "Bacterial small subunit ribosomal RNA", at positions 28 to 507 of the family's 1533-position model. The record is from RNAcentral.
GACGAACGCCGGCGGCGUGCUUAACACAUGCAAGUCGAACGGAAAGGCCCUGCUUUUGUGGGGUGCUCGAGUGGCGAACGGGUGAGUAACACGUGAGUAACCUGCCCUUGACUUUGGGAUAACUUCAGGAAACUGGGGCUAAUACCGGAUAGGAGCUCCUGCUGCAUGGUGGGGGUUGGAAAGUUUCGGCGGUUGGGGAUAGACUCGCGGCUUAUCAGCUUGUUGGUGGGGUAGUGGCUUACCAAGGCUUUGACGGGUAGCCGGCCUGAGAGGGUGACCGGCCACAUUGGGACUGAGAUACGGCCCAGACUCCUACGGGAGGCAGCAGUGGGGAAUAUUGCACAAUGGGCGGAAGCCUGAUGCAGCAACGCCGCGUGCGGGAUGACGGCCUUCGGGUUGUAAACCGCUUUCGCCUGUGACGAAGCGUGAGUGACGGUAAUGGGUAAAGAAGCACCGGCUAACUACGUG